This 730-nucleotide ribosomal RNA is filed under the name uncultured bacterium. RNAcentral describes it as "bacterial SSU rRNA". It matches the Rfam family "Bacterial small subunit ribosomal RNA", at positions 771 to 1501 of the family's 1533-position model. The record is from RNAcentral.
AACAGGAUUAGAUACCCUGGUAGUCCACGCCGUAAACGAUGUCGACUUGGAGGUUGUUCCCUUGAGGAGUGGCUUCCGGAGCUAGCGCGUUAAGUCGACCGCCUGGGGAGUACGGCCGCAAGGUUAAAACUCAAAUGAAUUGACGGGGGCCCGCACAAGCGGUGGAGCAUGUGGUUUAAUUCGAUGCAACGCGAAGAACCUUACCUACUCUUGGCAUCCAGAGAACUUAGCAGAGAUGCUUUGGUGCCUUCGGGAACUCUGAGACAGGUGCUGCAUGGCUGUCGUCAGCUCGUGUUGUGAAAUGUUGGGUUAAGUCCCGCAACGAGCGCAACCCUUAUCCUUUGUUGCCAGCGAUUCGGUCGGGAACUCAAAGGAGACUGCCGGUGAUAAACCGGAGGAAGGUGGGGAUGACGUCAAGUCAUCAUGGCCCUUACGAGUAGGGCUACACACGUGCUACAAUGGCGCAUACAAAGAGAAGCGACCUCGCGAGAGCAAGCGGACCUCAUAAAGUGCGUCGUAGUCCGGAUCGGAGUCUGCAACUCGACUCCGUGAAGUCGGAAUCGCUAGUAAUCGUGGAUCAGAAUGCCACGGUGAAUACGUUCCCGGGCCUUGUACCCACCGCCCGUCACACCAUGGGAGUGGGUUGCAAAAGAAGUAGGUAGCUUAACCUUCGGGAGGGCGCUUACCACUUUGUGAUUCAUGACUGGGGUGAAGUCGUAACAAGGUAACC